This 580-nucleotide ribosomal RNA is filed under the name Escherichia coli. RNAcentral's name for it is "partial 23S ribosomal RNA". It matches the Rfam family "Bacterial large subunit ribosomal RNA", at positions 375 to 957 of the family's 2925-position model. The record is from RNAcentral. Lineage: Bacteria; Pseudomonadati; Pseudomonadota; Gammaproteobacteria; Enterobacterales; Enterobacteriaceae.
GUACACAAAAAUGCACAUGCUGUGAGCUCGAUGAGUAGGGCGGGACACGUGGUAUCCUGUCUGAAUAUGGGGGGACCAUCCUCCAAGGCUAAAUACUCCUGACUGACCGAUAGUGAACCAGUACCGUGAGGGAAAGGCGAAAAGAACCCCGGCGAGGGGAGUGAAAAAGAACCUGAAACCGUGUACGUACAAGCAGUGGGAGCACAGAGCAAUCUGUGUGACUGCGUACCUUUUGUAUAAUGGGUCAGCGACUUAUAUUCUGUAGCAAGGUUAACCGAAUAGGGGAGCCGAAGGGAAACCGAGUCUUAACUGGGCGUUAAGUUGCAGGGUAUAGACCCGAAACCCGGUGAUCUAGCCAUGGGCAGGUUGAAGGUUGGGUAACACUAACUGGAGGACCGAACCGACUAAUGUUGAAAAAUUAGCGGAUGACUUGUGGCUGGGGGUGAAAGGCCAAUCAAACCGGGAGAUAGCUGGUUCUCCCCGAAAGCUAUUUAGGUAGCGCCUCGUGAAUUCAUCUCCGGGGGUAGAGCACUGUUUCGGCAAGGGGGUCAUCCCGACUUACCAACCCGAUGCAAACUGC